Molecule: ribosomal RNA, 447 nt
Filed under: uncultured bacterium
Lineage: Bacteria
Description: bacterial SSU rRNA
Rfam family: Bacterial small subunit ribosomal RNA
Source: RNAcentral
UCGGGAAUUUUGGGCAAUGGGCGAAAGCCUGACCCAGCAACGCCGCGUGAAGGAUGAAGUAUUUCGGUAUGUAAACUUCGAAAGAAUAGGAAGAAUAAAUGACGGUACUAUUUAUAAGGUCCGGCUAACUACGUGCCAGCAGCCGCGGUAAUACGUAGGGACCAAGCGUUGUUCGGAUUUACUGGGCGUAAAGGGCGCGUAGGCGGCAAUUCAAGUCAUCUGUGAAAUCUCCGGGCUUAACUCGGAACGGUCAGAUGAUACUGCUGUGCUAGAGUGCAGAAGGGGCAAUCGGAAUUCUUGGUGUAGCGGUGAAAUGCGUAGAUAUCAAGAGGAACACCUGAGGCGAAGGCGGGUUGCUGGGCUGAUACUGACGCUGAGGCGCGAAAGCUAGGGUAGCAAACGGGAUUAGAUACCCACGUAGUCCCUGAGCGGGCUGGCAAGGCGCAU